AAUUCUAAAAUAAAAAGUUUUGAAAACUUAUUUUUACUUACGGUAUAGAAUUU
Molecule: transfer RNA, 53 nt
Filed under: Streptosyllis sp. THS1
Lineage: Eukaryota; Metazoa; Annelida; Polychaeta; Phyllodocida; Syllidae
Description: tRNA-Ser
Source: RNAcentral